CCUACGGGAGGCAGCAGUAGGGAAUUUUGCGCAAUGGGGGAAACCCUGACGCAGCAACACCGCGUGAAUGUUAAGCCCUUCGGGGUGUAAAGUUCUGUCAAUAGGGACGAAUUUUGACUGUACCUAUAAAGGAAGCACCGGCUAACUCCGUGCCAGCAGCCGCGGUAAUACGGGGGGUGCAAGCGUUGUCCGGAAUCAUUGGGUGUAAAGGGAGCGUAGACGGUUCUGCAAGUCUGACGUGAAAGCCCGUGGCUUAACCGCGGAACGGCUUUGGAAACUGUGGAACUGGAGUGCUGGAGAGGCAAGCGGAAGUCCUAGUGUAGCGGUGAAAUGCGUAGAUAUUAGGAGGAACACCAGUGGCGAAGGCGGCUUGCUGGACAGUAACUGACGUUGAGGCUCGAAAGCGUGGGGAGCAAACAGGAUUAGAUACCCCUGUAGUC
This 440-nucleotide ribosomal RNA is filed under the name uncultured bacterium. RNAcentral describes it as "partial 16S ribosomal RNA". It matches the Rfam family "Bacterial small subunit ribosomal RNA", at positions 338 to 795 of the family's 1533-position model. The record is from RNAcentral.